AUUGAACGCUGGCGGCAGGCCUAACACAUGCAAGUCGAGCGGUUGAAGGGAGCUUUCUUCUGGAUUCAGCGGCGGACGGGCGAGUAAUUCAUGGGAAUCUGCCUGGCAGUUGGGUGGAGGGUCCGGAAUGGGGCCCAAUUACCGUAUCCGCCCAGAGGGUGAAAGGGGGGGAUCUUGGGACCUCCGGCCAUUAGCUGAGCCUAGGUCGGAUUAGCUAGUUGGUGGGGUAAAGGCCUACCAGGGCGACGAUCCGUAACUGGUCUGAGAGGAUGAGCGGUCACACUGGAACUGAGACACGGUCCAGACUCCUACGGGAGGCAGCAGUGGGGAAUAUUGGACAAUGGGCGAAAGCCUGAUCCAGCCAUGCCGCGUGUGUGAAGAAGGUCUUCGGAUUGUAAAGCACUUUAGUUUGGAAGGAAGGGCAGUAAGUUAAUACCCUGCUGUUUUGACGUUACCAACAGAAUAAGCACCGGCUAACUUCGUG
This 484-nucleotide ribosomal RNA is filed under the name uncultured bacterium. RNAcentral describes it as "partial 16S ribosomal RNA". It matches the Rfam family "Bacterial small subunit ribosomal RNA", at positions 30 to 507 of the family's 1533-position model. The record is from RNAcentral.